ACUUUCUCGGGCCUACAAACCCCAGAGCGGCCAUUGGAAACUGGGGAGCUUGAGUGCAGAAAAGGAAAGUAGGAAUUCCACGUGUAGCGGUGAAAUGCGUAGAUAUGUGGAGGAACACCAGUGGCGAAGGCGACUCUCUGGUCUGUAACUGACGCUGAGGCGCGAAAGCGUGGGGAGCAAACAGGAUUAGAUACCCUGGUAGUCCACGCCGUAAACGAUGAGUGCUAGGUGUUAGGGGUUUCGAUGCCCGUAGUGCCGAAGUAAACACAUUAAGCACUCCGCCUGGGGAGUACGGCCGCAAGGCUGAAACUUAAAGGAAUUGACGGGGACCCGCACAAGCAGUGGAGCAUGUGGUUUAAUUCGAAGCAACGCGAAGAACCUUACCAGGUCUUGACAUCCUUUGACCACUCUGGAGACAGAGCUUCCCCUUCGGGGGCAAAGUGACAGGUGGUGCAUGGUUGUCGUCAGCUCGUGUCGUGAGAUGUUGGGUUAAGUCCCGCAACGAGCGCAACCCUUGAUCUUAGUUGCCAGCAUUUAGUUGGGCACUCUAAGGUGACUGCCGGUGACAAACCGGAGGAAGGUGGGGGACGACGUCAAAUCAUCAUGCCCCUUAUGACCUGGGCUACACGCGUGCUACAAUGGAUGGUACAAAGGGCAGCGAAGCCGUGAGGUGGAGCCAAUCCCAUAAAGCCAUCGCUCAGUUCGGAUUGCAGGCUGCAACUCGCCUGCAUGAAGCCGGGAUUUGCUAGUAAUCGCGGAUCAGCAUGCCGCGGUGAAUACGUUCCCCGGGUCUUGUACACACCCGCCCGUCCACACCACGAGAGUUUGUAACAGCCCGAAGUCGUGAGGU
RNAcentral lists this ribosomal RNA (850 nucleotides) under Alkalihalobacillus sp. Its description in RNAcentral is "bacterial SSU rRNA". It matches the Rfam family "Bacterial small subunit ribosomal RNA", at positions 597 to 1435 of the family's 1533-position model. Lineage: Bacteria; Bacillati; Bacillota; Bacilli; Caryophanales; Bacillaceae. The record is from RNAcentral.